This 429-nucleotide long non-coding RNA is filed under the name Homo sapiens (human). RNAcentral describes it as "non-protein coding lnc-FOXL2NB-4:4". Lineage: Eukaryota; Metazoa; Chordata; Mammalia; Primates; Hominidae. The record is from RNAcentral.
GUCUGUUGAAAUGCCAAAAAUGACCCACCAAUGGAAGCAGCUGGCUUCACUGCUCAAGUGAUUAUCCUGAACCAUUCAGGCCAAAUCAGGUACUGGAUUGUCACACAGCUUACACAGCUUGCAAGUUUGCUGACCUGAAGGAAAAAGAUUGAUCACCAUUCUAGUAAGAAGCUGGAAGAUGGCCCUAAAUUCUUGAAGUCUGGUGGUGCUGCCAUAGUUGAUAUGGUUCCUGACAAGCCGAUGUAUGUUGAGAGCUUCUAGGACUAUCCUCCUCUGGGUCAUUUUGCUGCUCGUGAUAUGAAACAGAGUUGCCGUGGGUGUCAUCAAAGCAGUGGACAAGAAGGCUGCUGGAGCUGGCAAGGUCACCAAGUCUGCCCAGAAAGCUCAGAAGGCUAAAUGAAUAUUAUCCCUAAUACCUGCCACCUGAGU